RNAcentral lists this ribosomal RNA (599 nucleotides) under Escherichia coli. RNAcentral describes it as "partial 23S ribosomal RNA". It matches the Rfam family "Bacterial large subunit ribosomal RNA", at positions 614 to 1214 of the family's 2925-position model. Lineage: Bacteria; Pseudomonadati; Pseudomonadota; Gammaproteobacteria; Enterobacterales; Enterobacteriaceae. The record is from RNAcentral.
AAUGGGUCAGCGACUUAUAUUCUGUAGCAAGGUUAACCGAAUAGGGGAGCCGAAGGGAAACCGAGUCUUAACUGGGCGUUAAGUUGCAGGGUAUAGACCCGAAACCCGGUGAUCUAGCCAUGGGCAGGUUGAAGGUUGGGUAACACUAACUGGAGGACCGAACCGACUAAUGUUGAAAAAUUAGCGGAUGACUUGUGGCUGGGGGUGAAAGGCCAAUCAAACCGGGAGAUAGCUGGUUCUCCCCGAAAGCUAUUUAGGUAGCGCCUCGUGAAUUCAUCUCCGGGGGUAGAGCACUGUUUCGGCAAGGGGGUCAUCCCGACUUACCAACCCGAUGCAAACUGCGAAUACCGGAGAAUGUUAUCACGGGAGACACACGGCGGGUGCUAACGUCCGUCGUGAAGAGGGAAACAACCCAGACCGCCAGCUAAGGUCCCAAAGUCAUGGUUAAGUGGGAAACGAUGUGGGAAGGCCCAGACAGCCAGGAUGUUGGCUUAGAAGCAGCCAUCAUUUAAAGAAAGCGUAAUAGCUCACUGGUCGAGUCGGCCUGCGCGGAAGAUGUAACGGGGCUAAACCAUGCACCGAAGCUGCGGCAGCGACAC